AGAGUUUGAUCCUGGCUCAGGACGAACGCUGGCGGUGUGCUUCACACAUGCAAGUCGAGCGAAUGAAGUAGGUAGCUUGCUACUUAUGGAUUUAGCGGCGGACGGGUGAGUAAUAUAUAGGAAUCUGCCUUAGAGCGGGGAACAACAGACCGAAAGGUUUGCUAAUGCCCCAUAGGUAUGCAGUCUUCGGAUUGUAUAUUAAAGGAGUAAUCCACUCUAAGAUGAGCCUGUAUCCGAUUAGCUAGUUGGCGGGGUAAAGGCCCACCAAGGCUACGAUCGAUAGUUGGUCUGAGAGGAUGAUCAGCCACAAUGGGACUGAGACACGGCCCAUACUCCUACGGGAGGCAGCAGUGGGGAAUUUUACACAAUGGGGGAAACCCUGAUGUAGCGACACCGCGUGAACGAAGAAGCCUUUUGGGGUGUAAAGUUCUGUCGGCUGGAACGAAAAAAAUGACGGUACCAGCAAAGGAAGCAUCGGCUAACUACGUGCCAGCAGCCGCGGUAAGACGUAGGAUGCAAGCGUUGUCCGGAUUUAUUGGGCGUAAAGAGUUCGUAGGCGGUUAUUUAAGUCUGAUGUUAAAUACUGUGGCCCAACCACAGAACUGCAUUGGAUACUGGAUGACUUGAGUGCGGUAGAGGCAAGUGGAAUUCCCAGUGUAGCGGUGAAAUGCGUAGA
Molecule: ribosomal RNA, 676 nt
Filed under: uncultured bacterium
Lineage: Bacteria
Description: bacterial SSU rRNA
Rfam family: Bacterial small subunit ribosomal RNA
Source: RNAcentral